This 760-nucleotide ribosomal RNA is filed under the name uncultured bacterium. Its description in RNAcentral is "bacterial SSU rRNA". It matches the Rfam family "Bacterial small subunit ribosomal RNA", at positions 8 to 796 of the family's 1533-position model. The record is from RNAcentral.
AGAGUUUGAUCCUGGCUCACAACGAACGCUGGCGGCAUGCCUAACACAUGCAAGUCGAACGCUUUCGGGGGUUUCGGCCUCCGAGGGAGUGGCAGACGGGUGAGUAGCGCGUGGGAACCUGCCCCUUUGUGGGGGAUAACCGAGGGAAACUUCGGCUAAUACCGCAUGCGCCGGGAGCAAUCCCGGGAAAGAUUUAUCGCAGAGGGAGGGGCCCGCGUCGGAUUAGGUAGUUGGUGGGGUAACGGCCUACCAAGCCUGUGAUCCGUAGCUGGUCUGAGAGGAUGAUCAGCCACACUGGGACUGAGACACGGCCCAGACUCCUACGGGAGGCAGCAGUGGGGAAUAUUGGACAAUGGGCGCAAGCCUGAUCCAGCAAUGCCGCGUGAGUGAUGAAGGCCUUAGGGUUGUAAAGCUCUUUCGGCGGGGACGAUGAUGACGGUACCCGCAGAAGAAGCCCCGGCUAACUUCGUGCCAGCAGCCGCGGUAAUACGAAGGGGGCGAGCGUUGUUCGGAUUUACUGGGCGUAAAGGGCGCGUAGGCGGCGGUCCAAGUCGAGUGUGAAAGCCCCGGGCUCAACCCGGGAGGUGCGCUCGAGACUGGAUUGCUAGAGUUCGGGAGAGGAGCGUGGAAUUCCCAGUGUAAAGGUGAAAUUCGUAGAUAUUGGGAAGAACACCAGUGGCGAAGGCGGCGCUCUGGACCGAAACUGACGCUGAGGCGCGAAAGCGUGGGGACCAAACAGGAUUACAUACCCUGGUAGUCC